RNAcentral lists this ribosomal RNA (404 nucleotides) under uncultured bacterium. Its description in RNAcentral is "bacterial SSU rRNA". It matches the Rfam family "Bacterial small subunit ribosomal RNA", at positions 355 to 776 of the family's 1533-position model. The record is from RNAcentral.
UGGGGAAUAUUGGACAAUGGGCGCAAGCCUGAUCCAGCAAUGCCGCGUGAGUGAUGAAGGCCUUAGGGUUGUAAAGCUCUUUUACCCGGGAAGAUAAUGACUGUACCGGGAGAAUAAGCCCCGGCUAACUCCGUGCCAGCAGCCGCGGUAAUACGGAGGGGGCUAGCGUUAUUCGGAAUUACUGGGCGUAAAGCGCGCGUAGGCGGUUUUUCAAGUCAGGGGUGAAAGCCCGGAGCUCAACUCCGGAACUGCCUUUGAAACUGGAAGACUUGAAUCUUGGAGAGGUCAGUGGAAUUCCGAGUGUAGAGGUGAAAUUCGUAGAUAUUCGGAAGAACACCAGUGGCGAAGGCGACUGACUGGACAAGUAUUGACGCUGAGGUGCGAAAGCGUGGGGAGCAAACAGG